GAUCCUGGCUCAGGAUGAACGCUAGCUACAGGCUUAACACAUGCAAGUCGAGGGGCAGCGGGAAGUCAGCUUGCUGACUUUGCCGGCGACCGGCGCACGGGUGAGUAACACGUAUCCAACCUCCCGCAUACUCGGGAAUAGCCUUUCGAAAGAAAGAUUAAUGCCCGAUGGUUUCAAGGGAUUGCAUGGUAUCUUGAAUAAAGAUUCAUCGGUAUGCGAUGGGGAUGCGUUCCA
Molecule: ribosomal RNA, 234 nt
Filed under: uncultured bacterium
Lineage: Bacteria
Description: partial 16S ribosomal RNA
Rfam family: Bacterial small subunit ribosomal RNA
Source: RNAcentral